RNAcentral lists this ribosomal RNA (235 nucleotides) under uncultured bacterium. Its description in RNAcentral is "partial 16S ribosomal RNA". It matches the Rfam family "Bacterial small subunit ribosomal RNA", at positions 101 to 339 of the family's 1533-position model. The record is from RNAcentral.
AACGGGUGAGUAAUAUAUCGGAACGUACCCAGUAGCGGGGGAUAACUACUCGAAAGAGUAGCUAAUACCGCAUACGCCCUACGGGGGAAAGUGGGGGAUCGCAAGACCUCAUGCUCCUGGAGCGGCCGAUAUCUGAUUAGCUAGUUGGUGGGGUAAUAGCCCACCAAGGCGACGAUCAGUAGCUGGUCUGAGAGGACGACCAGCCACACUGGGACUGAGACACGGCCCAGACUCC